GACGAACGCUGGCGGCGUGCUUAACACAUGCAAGUCGAACGGAAAGGCCUGCUUUCCCUUGUGGAUUGCGGGUACUCGAGUGGCGAACGGGUGAGUAACACGUGAGUGAUCUGCCCCCAACUUGGGUAUAAGCCUGGGAAACUGGGUCUAAUUCCCGAUAGGACUGCAGGGUGGUGCCUGUGGUGGAAAACGAUUUUCUAGUGGUUGGGGAUGAGCUCGCGGCCUAUCAGCUUGUUGGUGGGGUAAUGGCCUACCAAGGCGGCGACGGGUAGCCGGCCUGAGAGGGUGGACGGCCACAUUGGGACUGGGAUACGGCCCAGACUCCUACGGGAGGCAGCAGUGGGGAAUAUUGCACAAUGGGCGGAAGCCUGAUGCAGCGACGCCGCGUGGGGGAUGACGGCCUUCGGGUGGUAAACUCCUUUCGACCGCGAGGAAGCCACCUGGUUGGAAGGGUGGUGACGGUAGUGGUAGAAGAAGCACCGGCUAACUACGUG
Molecule: ribosomal RNA, 494 nt
Filed under: uncultured bacterium
Lineage: Bacteria
Description: partial 16S ribosomal RNA
Rfam family: Bacterial small subunit ribosomal RNA
Source: RNAcentral